UGCAGUCGAACGAUGACGGUGGUGCUUGCACCACCUGAUUAGUGGCGAACGGGUGAGUAACACGUGAGUAACCUGCCCCCCACUUCGGGAUAACCUCGGGAAAUCGUGGCUAAUACCGGAUAUGAGCACUCAUCGCAUGGUGGGUGCUGGAAAGAUUUAUCGGUGGGGGAUGGACUCGCGGCCUAUCAGUUUGUUGGUGAGGUGAUGGCUCACCAAGACGAUGACGGGUAGCCGGCCUGAGAGGGCGACCGGCCACACUGGGACUGAGACACGGCCCAGACUCCUACGGGAGGCAGCAGUGGGGAAUAUUGCACAAUGGGCGAAAGCCUGAUGCAGCGACGCCGCGUGGGGGAUGACGGCCUUCGGGUUGUAAACCCCUUUCAGUAGGGAAGAAGCGAGAGUGACGGUACCUGCAGAAGAAGCGCCGGCUAACUACGUGCCAGCAGCCGCGGUAAUACGUAGGGCGCAAGCGUUGUCCGGAAUUAUUGGGCGUAAAGAGCUUGUAGGUGGCUUGUCGCGUCUGCCGUGAAAACCCGAGGCUCAACCUCGGGCGUGCGGUGGGUACGGGCAGGCUAGAGUGUGGUAGGGGAGACUGGAACUCCUGGUGUAGCGGUGAAAUGCGCAGAUAUCAGGAAGAACACCGAUGGCGAAGGCAGGUCUCUGGGCCAUUACUGACACUGAGAAGCGAAAGCAUGGGUAGCGAACAGGAUUAGAUACCCUGGUAGUCCAUGCCGUAAACGUUGGGCACUAGGUGUGGGGGACAUUCCACGUUUUCCGCGCCGUAGCUAACGCAUUAAGUGCCCCGCCUGGGGAGUACGGCCGC
RNAcentral lists this ribosomal RNA (823 nucleotides) under Brachybacterium sp. RODSPM16. RNAcentral's name for it is "bacterial SSU rRNA". It matches the Rfam family "Bacterial small subunit ribosomal RNA", at positions 56 to 889 of the family's 1533-position model. Lineage: Bacteria; Bacillati; Actinomycetota; Actinomycetes; Micrococcales; Dermabacteraceae. The record is from RNAcentral.